This 791-nucleotide ribosomal RNA is filed under the name uncultured Methanosarcinaceae archaeon. RNAcentral describes it as "bacterial SSU rRNA". It matches the Rfam family "Archaeal small subunit ribosomal RNA", at positions 85 to 879 of the family's 1478-position model. Lineage: Archaea; Methanobacteriati; Methanobacteriota; Methanomicrobia; Methanosarcinales; Methanosarcinaceae. The record is from RNAcentral.
ACGGCUCAGUAACACGUGGAUAACCUGCCCAAGGGUCUGGGAUAACCCCGGGAAACUGGGGAUAAUACCGGAUGGAUCACUAGUGCUGGAAUGCUUGGUGGUUUAAAUGCGACGCCUUUGGAUGGGUCUGCGGCGGAUUAGGUUGACGCCGGUGUAACGUACCGGCGUGCCUGUAAUCCGUACGGGUUGUGGGAGCAAGAGCCCGGAGAUGGAUUCUGAGACACGAAUCCAGGCCCUACGGGGCGCAGCAGGCGCGAAAACUCUACAAUGCAGGCAACUGCGAUAGGGGGACAUCGAGUGGCAUCCACCUUGGGUGCCUGUCCAACCGUCUAAAAAACGGUUGUUAGCAAGGGCCGGGUAAGACCGGUGCCAGCCGCCGCGGUAAUACCGGCGGCUCGAGUGGUGGCCGAUAUUAUUGAGUCUAAAGGGUCCGUAGCCGGCUUUGCAAGUCCCCUGGGAAGUCCAGCGGCUUAACCGUUGGGCUUUCAUGGGAUACUACAUUGCUUGGGACUGGGAGAGGUAGGAGGUACUCGGGGGGUAGGGGUGAAAUCCUGUAAUCCUCCGGGGACCACCGGUGGCGAAGGCGUCCUACCAGAACAGGUCCGACGGUGAGGGACGAAAGCUAGGGGCACGAACCGGAUUAGAUACCCGGGUAGUCCUAGCCGUAAACGAUGCCCGCUAGGUGUCACGACGGUCGUGAAUCGUCGUGGUGCCGUAGGGAAGCCGCGAAGCGGGCCACUUGGGAAGUACGGCCGCAAGGCUGAAACUUAAAGGAAUUGGCGGGGGAGCAC